CUUGAAUGACAACAAGAGCGACGGGCGAUAUGUGCAUGUUAAAUUGCCAUUUCAGGUCUAAUUUUUAUUUAAACCUUAUUUUCGAGUCCUAUUUCGGAAUUCCUUAUUUCAGCUUCCAACUAAUGUAUCCCACGCUUUCCUUAAAAUUACCUUUGUAUUGAUUUGUUUUUUAAAAAUGUUUUUUAUUGAGACUUGGUCAUAUAUUCUUGCCCCUUCAAACAAUGAUAUAAAGGGUAAGAUUCUUGGUCAAUUCGAUCGUGGGUUAUCGAUUAUAAUGCAGGAUCCCCCGCAAGGGUCUUACACCGCCAUUUCGUUUAGGUUUCCCUUAUUUAGGUACUUUCUUUAAUUACAUUAAAA
RNAcentral lists this ribosomal RNA (357 nucleotides) under Aculops ulmi. RNAcentral's name for it is "partial small subunit ribosomal RNA". The record is from RNAcentral. Lineage: Eukaryota; Metazoa; Arthropoda; Arachnida; Trombidiformes; Eriophyidae.